This 35-nucleotide ribosomal RNA is filed under the name Motacilla cinerea cinerea. RNAcentral's name for it is "partial 12S ribosomal RNA". The record is from RNAcentral. Lineage: Eukaryota; Metazoa; Chordata; Aves; Passeriformes; Motacillidae.
UCCUAACCUUACUGNUAGUUUUUGCUAGGGAUAUA